GUACUGCUGUUGGAUGUCUGAUGAUUGUCGCUUCAGUUCUGAUGUUCUGGAUCUACAGGAAACACAGAAACACACAGCAACAGGUUCAAACCAGAGGAACGGAAAUCACUUAUGCAGAUCCAACAUUCUGUAAAAGAGCAGCAAAUAAACCGGGAUCUGAGGAUGAUGUGGUGUAUGCAGGAGUCAAGAGACGAUAAACAAAUUCUCUGUGAUUCUCAGAUCAACAUUUAGCUGUUUGAUCAUCUACAGUCUCUGUUAUAACUUCAGAUUUUGACUGUUUGUGAGUUUAAACUUUUUUUCUUUGUGAAUUAUAUGACAUGAAGCGAUUAUUACAUGUGAGAUGUCUGCUUACUCUCUCAACUUAAGAUCUGUUACUUCUCCAUCACAUUUGCAAGCAUAAUACACACCAAUAACAGACAAAAGCACAUCACAAACACUGUGAACAAAAUAUAAAUUAAUCACUGUGGAUACAACCAACGUAUUUCUUUUUAAAACACAAACUGUCUUUUUAUUUUUGUCACUAUAUACAUCUGACACAUUAACACGUUCAAGUGGAAAGAAAUGUGGUUUUGUUGUACUGGUGGACGUGAGAUAUGCGUUUGUGUUAAACUAUUAGUGGUGAAUGUGUAUAUGUGUGUGACUGUUAGAGGUGUGAACAGUGUGCUUCUGUGAAUACUGUGUGGCUUUUUUUGCUGUCGCUGCUAAUAUUGUUUACUCUGCACAAAGCAGCUUUAUUGAAAUAUUGA
Molecule: non-coding RNA, 746 nt
Organism: Misgurnus anguillicaudatus (oriental weatherfish)
Lineage: Eukaryota; Metazoa; Chordata; Actinopteri; Cypriniformes; Cobitidae
Source: RefSeq, a predicted model, not a curated record